RNAcentral lists this ribosomal RNA (550 nucleotides) under Funneliformis mosseae. Its description in RNAcentral is "SSU rRNA". It matches the Rfam family "Eukaryotic small subunit ribosomal RNA", at positions 548 to 1098 of the family's 1831-position model. Lineage: Eukaryota; Fungi; Glomeromycota; Glomeromycetes; Glomerales; Glomeraceae. The record is from RNAcentral.
UUGGAGGGCAAGUCUGGUGCCAGCAGCCGCGGUAAUUCCAGCUCCAAUAGCGUAUAUUAAAGUUGUUGCAGUUAAAAAGCUCGUAGUUGAAUUUCGGGAUCAAUAUUUCGGUCAUGCCGUUGGUAUGCACUGUUAUCAUUGAUUUCUCACCUUCUAAAGAACCGUAAUGCCAUUAAUUUGGUGUUACGGGGAAUUAGGACUGUUACCUUGAAAAAAUUAGAGUGUUUAAAGCAGGCUCACGCUUGAAUACAUUAGCAUGGAAUAAUGAAAUAGGACAUCCGAUUCAAUUUUGUUGGUUUCUAGGAUCGAUGUAAUGAUUAAUAGGGAUAGUUGGGGGCAUUAGUAUUCAAUUGUCAGAGGUGAAAUUCUUGGAUUUAUUGAAGACUAACUACUGCGAAAGCAUUUGCCAAGGAUGUUUUCAUUAAUCAAGAACGAAAGUUAGGGGAUCGAAGACGAUCAGAUACCGUCGUAGUCUUAACCAUAAGCUAUGCCGACUAGGGAUCGGAUGAUGUUAAUUUUUUAAUGACUCAUUCGGCGCCUUACGGGAAAC